Molecule: ribosomal RNA, 253 nt
Filed under: uncultured bacterium
Lineage: Bacteria
Description: partial 16S ribosomal RNA
Rfam family: Bacterial small subunit ribosomal RNA
Source: RNAcentral
UACGUAGGGACCGAGCGUUGUCCGGAAUCAUUGGGCGUAAAGAGCGUGUAGGCGGCUAUUUAAGUCCUGCGUGAAAUCCUGCGGCUCAACCGCAGACGGUCGUGGGAAACUGGAUGGCUAGAGUGCGGGAGAGGAGAGUGGAAUUCCCGGUGUAGCGGUGAAAUGCGCAGAUAUCGGGAAGAACACCCGUGGCGAAAGCGGCUCACUGGACCACUACUGACGCUGAUGCGCGAAAGCUAGGGGAGCAAACAGG